Molecule: long non-coding RNA, 643 nt
Organism: Saccostrea cuccullata (small rock oyster)
Lineage: Eukaryota; Metazoa; Mollusca; Bivalvia; Ostreida; Ostreidae
Exons: 3
Source: RefSeq, a predicted model, not a curated record
GAACACUCUUGACUCUGCUUCGGAUUCCCCAGUGAUAAUUGUAUCGAGUGAUGAAAGAGCUGACGGCGACAUUUUAAUGUAUGAUUGGCUUGGACCAUUGGAAUGAAGUCAUUUCAUGGUGCCACCACUUGGGAUGGUAUUAGCUGCAAAUAUAGACUUGUACUUAGCACUUAUUGCCUUUAAGAAGUAUGAGAUCCAUUUUGUGCUAACACCUACCGUGACAUAGAAUCUUGGUUUAUGCAGUCUCAUAGGAGUAACCUGUCUAAAGCAUUUAGCAAUGGAAUUGGAACCUGCGACGUGUGACUCAUCUGAAUACUGAAUUUUGAUACCAAGCAUGACCAUGAUUUGCCAGAAGAUCAUCUGUUUGGAUGUGACAUGGAAUAAACAGCAUAGUGAAAAUAAGUCAAGUUUUGGUUUGUGACGACAACUUUUAAACACAUUGUGUAUCAUUUUUAAAUUUUGAUUUGACAACAUAAAUCCACAAAUAUGAACAUAUCAAUUGCUCUCAGUUUUUCAAGUGAAAUAGUUUUUGUAACAGAAAUACAUGUACCAGUAAUUACAUUGGAAUAAAUGUUAUUUUUAAAUAUAAUAAUAUUUUGUUUGUGUUGCAUGUUGACCUCUUUAUUAAGGUCUUCCCUUUCAA